CAAACAGGUGCUGAAAAAUGUACAUUAUCAGAAAAUAAUCAAUAAAUGUGUUUUAAAGUUACACCGAUCAAAUUAAAUCCAAAUCAUGCACUGUUUUGUGAACUGUCAUCAAAAUGUCAAUUUCCUACAAUGACAAAAGAAAUUACAUUGUGUGCAUUUCGUCUCUAUACAUGUUGUCUGUUCAAAGUCCCCACCUAAAAAGGAAUAAAAAGACUAUCUUUUCGUUAUUAUAAACCCGUGUCACGUGAUGUGGCGCGCGCGCUGUACCUAAAAUAAAAUAAAAACUUUCCAAACUAAACAUGAAACUUCUCCGGUAACAAUAAUAUAGACCCCAUACAGAAACAAACAAACAAACAAACAAACAAACAAACAAAAACAAACAAACAAACAAACAAACAAACAAACAAACAAACAAACAAACAAACAAACACCCCCCCCCAAUUCAAUUAAUUUUAAAGGGGGAAAGACCCCCUACAAUUGCUUUUUUAAAGCAAUUGAUUUAUAUUUAUUAUUAUUAUUUUUUUUUUUUUUUUUUCUUCCGCCUAAUUUUGAUAUUGCGACAAAUGUUUGUUUCGCAAUAUGUCGCUUAGAUAUUUCUCAUAUUGUAUCGUACAGUUUAUGCGCUUUUACAUUUAACCCUGCUAAGCCGAACACUUUUCUUUGUAAGAGUUAUCUCCCUAUUCACUGUUUAUCAUCAGAGUGCAUCUCCUUUGUAACAAAAAAAGAUAGCGACAAAAUUCUUUUUACAAAUUGUUCGUUACAUCCUAAGGAAAAUUUGGCUUAUUUGGAUCGAAGCGAUUCGAUGAAAUUUUAUAGGAGUUAUCUACCUUUACAAAAUUAUUUUCUCAAUAUGUGUUAUUAACUAAUAAACCGUCAACCGUAUAACCCUGGAAUGUAUUUAUUUGAGAUCCCUAGGCCCUUUAUUAGAAAAUGGGGUCAAGGUCAAAGGUCAAGGUCAAGUUCUAAAUUCGGAAUUUUCCAUGUUUUUGCAUUUUCUCCAACCCUUGAAAAGGUACAUAUUAAAGAACAAGUGCAAAAUGAUUGCUAUAUAGUUAUGAAGAUAUGUUACAUUUGGUCUGAUACAAUUAAAUAGCAUCUAAUAGGAGUUAGUGCCCCUGAAAUGUCUUGAUAUGAGGUUAUUUGAUUAUAACUUCAACUAAGUGCAUUUUAAUGGCAUUUGACCUUGUGCAAAAGGUUGGAUGACAAAUGACCUUGAAAAAUGACUACCGGAAGUGACCUUGAGAAAACCGGAAGUAACCUUUUUUUGCAAUUUUUUCGUAUAAAAGUACUCAGAAUCCAUAUAUUUUGUCAUAUAGAUACAUAAACUGAUUACUGAAGACUAAAAAUGACUUCCAACAAACCGGAAGUGACCAUGUAUCUCCCAUUCUAAAUACAAAAGUAUAUAGAAACUAUAUAUUUUUGGAAUCAGUGUGAAAGAAGCUAUCAUAUUAGACCGGAAGUGACAUUCAUUUCACCGGAAGUAGCAUAUUAUCUCCUUUAUAUCACUUAAAAAUAUGAUUAAACCAUUAUUUAUCGUAUCAGUAUGAACAACUAUCUUCUUAUCAUCAAAUUUCUUUGAUAUGGAAAGACCUUCAAUUGUUCUCUGAACAAUUGGUUUUUAAUUAUUAUUAUUAUUAUUAUUUUUUUUUUUUUUUUUUUUUUUCUUCCGCCUAAUUUUGAUAUUGCGACAAAUGUUUGUUUCGCAAUAUGUCGCUUAGAUAUUUCUCAUAUUGUAUCGUACAGUUUAUGCGCUUUUACAUUUCACCCUGCUAAGCCGAACACUUUUCUUUGUAAGAGUUAUCUCCCUAUUCACUGUUUAUCAUCAGAGUGCAUCUCCUUCAUAACAAAAAAAGAUAGCGACAAAAUUCUUUUUACAAAUUGUUCGUUACAUCCUAAGGAAAAUUUGGCUUAUUUGGAUCGAAGCGAUUCGAUGAAAUUUUAUAGGAGUUAUCUACCUUUACAAAAUUAUUUUCUCAAUAUGUGUUAUUAACUAAUAAACCGUCAACCAUAUAACCCUGGAAUGUAUUUAUUUGAGAUCCCUAGGCCCUUUAUUAGAAAAUGGGGUCAAGGUCAAAGGUCAAGGUCAAGUUCUAAAUUCGGAAUUUUCCAUGUUUUUGCAUUUUCUCCAACCCUUGAAAAGGUAUAUAUUAAAGAACAAGUGCAAAAUGAUUGCUAUAUAGUUAUGAAGAUAUUUUACAUUUGGUCUGAUACAAUUAAAUAGCAUCUAAUAGGAGUUAGUGGCCCUGAAAUGUCUUGAUAUGAGGUUAUUUGAUUAUAACUUCAACUAAGUCCAUUUUAAUGGCAUUUGACCUUGUGCAAAAGUUUGGAUGACAAAUGCCCUUGAAAAAUGACUACCGGAAGUGACCUUGAGAAAACCGGAAGUAACCUUCUUUGCAAUUUUUUCGUAUAAAAGUACUCAAAAUCCAUAUAUUUUGUCAUAUAGAUACAUAAACUGAUUACUGAAGACUAAAAAUGACUUCCAACAAACCGGAAGUGACCAUGUAUCUCCCAUUCUAAAUACAAAAGUAUAUAGAAACUAUAUAUUUUUGGAAUCAGUGUGAAAGAAGCUGUCAUAUUAGACCGGAAGUGACAUUCAUUUCACCGGAAGUAGCAUAUUAUCUCCCUUAUAUCACUUAAAAAUAUGAUUAAACCAUUAUUUAUCGUAUCAGUAUGAACAACUAUCUUCUUAUCAAAAUUUCUUUGAUAUGGAAAGACCUUCAAUUGUUCUCUGAACAAUUGGUUUUUAAUUAUUAUUAUUAUUAUUAUU
This 2767-nucleotide long non-coding RNA is filed under the name Mytilus galloprovincialis (Mediterranean mussel). Lineage: Eukaryota; Metazoa; Mollusca; Bivalvia; Mytilida; Mytilidae. The record is from RNAcentral.